Molecule: ribosomal RNA, 619 nt
Filed under: Chromobacterium amazonense
Lineage: Bacteria; Pseudomonadati; Pseudomonadota; Betaproteobacteria; Neisseriales; Chromobacteriaceae
Description: bacterial SSU rRNA
Rfam family: Bacterial small subunit ribosomal RNA
Source: RNAcentral
GGGUGAGUAAUGCAUCGGAAUGUACCGUGUAAUGGGGGAUAGCUCGGCGAAAGCCGGAUUAAUACCGCAUACGCCCUGAGGGGGAAAGCGGGGGAUCGAAAGACCUCGCGUUAUACGAGCAGCCGAUGUCUGAUUAGCUAGUUGGUGAGGUAAGAGCUCACCAAGGCGACGAUCAGUAGCGGGUCUGAGAGGAUGAUCCGCCACACUGGGACUGAGACACGGCCCAGACUCCUACGGGAGGCAGCAGUGGGGAAUUUUGGACAAUGGGCGCAAGCCUGAUCCAGCCAUGCCGCGUGUCUGAAGAAGGCCUUCGGGUUGUAAAGGACUUUUGUUCGGGAGGAAAUCCCGCUGGUUAAUACCUGGCGGGGAUGACAGUACCGGAAGAAUAAGCACCGGCUAACUACGUGCCAGCAGCCGCGGUAAUACGUAGGGUGCAAGCGUUAAUCGGAAUUACUGGGCGUAAAGCGUGCGCAGGCGGUUGUGCAAGUCUGAUGUGAAAGCCCCGGGCUCAACCUGGGAACGGCAUUGGAGACUGCACGACUAGAGUGCGUCAGAGGGGGGUAGAAUUCCGCGUGUAGCAGUGAAAUGCGUAGAGAUGCGGAGGAAUACCAAUGGCGAA